Molecule: ribosomal RNA, 460 nt
Filed under: uncultured bacterium
Lineage: Bacteria
Description: partial 16S ribosomal RNA
Rfam family: Bacterial small subunit ribosomal RNA
Source: RNAcentral
CCUACGGGAGGCAGCAGUGAGGAAUAUUGGUCAAUGGGCGCGAGCCUGAACCAGCCAAGUCGCGUGAAGGAUGACUGCCCUACGGGUUGUAAACUUCUUUUAUAAAGGAAUAAAGUGAGGCACGUGUGCCUUUUUGUAUGUACUUUAUGAAUAAGGAUCGGCUAACUCCGUGCCAGCAGCCGUGGUAAUACGGAGGAUCCGAGCGUUAUCCGGAUUUAUUGGGUUUAAAGGGAGCGUAGGUGGGUUGGUAAGUCAGUGGGGAAAGUUUGCGGCUCAACCGGAAAAGUGCGAUUGAGACUGGCAGUCUUGAGUACAGUUGAGGUGGGCGGAAUGCGUGGUGUAGCGGUGAAAUGCUUAGAUAUCACGAAGAACCCCGAUUGCGAAGGCAGCUUACUGGACGGUGACUGACGUUGAUGCUCGAAAGUGUGGGUAUCAAACAGGAUUAGUUACCCGAGUAGUC